This 876-nucleotide ribosomal RNA is filed under the name uncultured crenarchaeote. Its description in RNAcentral is "bacterial SSU rRNA". It matches the Rfam family "Archaeal small subunit ribosomal RNA", at positions 21 to 903 of the family's 1478-position model. Lineage: Archaea; Thermoproteati; Thermoproteota. The record is from RNAcentral.
ACCUGACUGCUAUCGGAUUGAUACUAAGCCAUGCGAGUCAUUGUAGCAAUACAAGGCAUACGGCUCAGUAACGCGUAGUCAACCUAACCUAUGGACGGGAAUAACCUCGGGAAACUGAGAAUAAUGCCCGAUAGAACAUUAUGCCUGGAAUGGUUUAUGUUCCAAAUGAUUUAUCGCCAUAGGAUGGGACUGCGGCCUACCAGUUUGUUGGUGAGGUAAUGGCCCACCAAGACUAUUACAGGUACGGGCUCUGAGAGGAGUAGCCCGGAGAUGGGUACUGAGACACGGACCCAGGCCCUAUGGGGCGCAGCAGGCGAGAAAACUUUGCAAUGUGCGAAAGCACGACAAGGUUAAUCCGAGUGAUUUCUGCUAAAGAGAUCUUUUGUUAGUUCUAGAGACACUAACGAAUAAGGGGUGGGCAAGUUCUGGUGUCAGCCGCCGCGGUAAAACCAGCACCUCAAGUGGUCAGGAUGAUUAUUGGGCCUAAAGCAUCCGUAGCCGGCUCUGUAAGUUUUCGGUUAAAUCUGUACGCUCAACGUACAGGCUGCCGGGAAUACUGCAGAACUAGGGAGUGGGAGAGGUAGACGGUACUCGGUAGGAAGUGGUAAAAUGCUUUGAUCUAUCGAUGACCACCUGUGGCGAAGGCGGUCUACCAGAACACGUCCGACGGUGAGGGAUGAAAGCUGGGGGAGCAAACCGGAUUAGAUACCCGGGUAGUCCCAGCUGUAAACUAUGCAAACUCAGUGAUGCAUUGGCUUGUGGCCAAUGCAGUGCUGCAGGGAAGCCGUUAAGUUUGCCGCCUGGGAAGUACGUACGCAAGUAUGAAACUUAAAGGAAUUGGCGGGGGAGCACCACAAGGGGUGAAGCCUGCGGUUC